This is a non-coding RNA of Pelobates cultripes (western spadefoot toad), 398 nucleotides long. NCBI's taxonomy places the organism in Eukaryota, Metazoa, Chordata, Amphibia, Anura, Pelobatidae. The record is from the annotation of a GenBank genome assembly.
CAUUUAGACGUGUGUGGUGGCGAAGACUCUCGGGCAACUGGGGGCAUUUAUGAACUUCGGGAAGUGAGUAUGCCCUUGGCAAUGAGGUUAGUCCGGAGACACCGCAAACAAUACACAUGGAUUGGUUAUACAAUAAAGAAAUGCAUAAGAACAUUAUGUUUACCCUUUUCUGAUUAUUGUUUUUUUUCCUCCCCACCUUUUUACCCUUUAUAUUAACAGUCCUAACCACUCCUCCAUAUAAUCCCAUAAAUUUUUAAACAAGUGGUUGAGUUGUCCGACAUGGGCUUAGGGAAGUGUGCCAAGUUUUGCCCUUAGGGGUUGUCUCUGUCGGUGUCCAUCCCGGCUCUAAGGGUGCUCCAUAUCCUUAAUAUGGGUUGGAAUUGGUCCAGAGGGUGUAU